Molecule: ribosomal RNA, 253 nt
Filed under: uncultured bacterium
Lineage: Bacteria
Description: partial 16S ribosomal RNA
Rfam family: Bacterial small subunit ribosomal RNA
Source: RNAcentral
UACAGAGGUCCCAAGCGUUGUUCGGAUUCACUGGGCGUAAAGGGUGCGCAGGUGGGCUGGUAAGUUCGAUGUGAAAGCCCCGGGCUUAACCCGGGAAAGGCAUUGGAUACUACUGGUCUGGAGGAUUGGAGGGGGGACUGGAAUUCUUGGUGUAGCAGUGAAAUGCGUAGAUAUCAAGAGGAACACCAGUGGCGAAGGCGAGUCCCUGGACAACACCUGACACUGAGGCACGAAAGCUAGGGGAGCAAACAGG